UUCUAUUAGUUAUAAUUAAUAGUAUAAUCUGCUCAAUGAUACUAAAUAGCCGCUAAUAUUGUGCUAAGGUAGCAUAAUCAUUUGUCUUUUAAUUGAAGACUAGAACAAAAGAUUGAACAAUUUAAUUAAUAUAUUAAAAUUAAUAAAUUAAAUUUAUUUUAAAUGUAAAAAAACUUUUAUAUAUAAGGAAGACGACAAGACCCUAUUAAACUUAACUUAAGUUUAACUGGGGCAGUUAAUCAAUUAUUACUUUAAUAAAAAUAUUAAAUCAAAAGAUCCAACACAAUUGAUUACAUGACCAAGUUACUAUAGGGAUAACAGCGUAAUAUUAAUCUAAAGAUCUCAUUUAAAUAAAAUGUUUACGACCUCGAUGUUGAAUUAAUAACCUAAAUUAUCGCAAUAAAUAAAUAAAGGAAGUCCGUUCGACUUUUAAAAAAUUACA
RNAcentral lists this ribosomal RNA (442 nucleotides) under Tomopisthes pusillus. RNAcentral describes it as "partial 16S ribosomal RNA". The record is from RNAcentral. Lineage: Eukaryota; Metazoa; Arthropoda; Arachnida; Araneae; Anyphaenidae.